AUGGAGGAGAUUCGGGCCUUGAUCAAGUCUUCUUCCCCUUCGUCAUCUUCAAGGCGGCGACGUUCAAGCCACAAGCCUUCGAAGCGCGAAAAUGAUGCAAGCGCAAUUCGUCCACGUCCACAUCUACAUGGCGAUCACCAUCACGUUCGUGAUCCACAUCGUCAUGAAGGGCAAGUCACCUCCAAGCAUCAUGUGCACGACGACAACGAACUCCAUCGAGCUCAAGCACGACAACGGCACCAUCAUCAUGAAGAUGCUUGCCAAGCGCAAAUGUACAAGUCCCAACAAGCCCUACUUCACGCCAAGUCCAAGCUUCAUGAGCAAAAGAGAAGACCGCGAGAUGAGCACCAACAAGACGAAGCUACGGCUACCACCACCACUUCGGCAUCUUCGCCAAGUGUUCUCAAGGCAUCUUCGCCUUUGGACGUACGACAUCUUCGCCUACCUCCCACGAGUACGCCUACAACGAUUUCAUCAAGUCCAAGGCGACCACCUACAAGUGAGGGCGACACUUCCAUCUUCGGAAGCCCCUCAAGGAAGAUGGCCAAGCAUGGGAAUUUCACUUCGGUCAUGGAGACUAGCUACGAGGUGCCACAUCAUAUGGGCCUCCCACACCAAGAUGGUGACAAGAAGGUCGAGCAAGCGCCAUCCCCUCCGACCACGGCGAUAGGAGUUGAGCAUGUAGACAUUUGCACCUACAUCUCUCUGACACCCACAUAUGUCAAGAUACUCCAUUUUUCAUGUGAGGAGAACCACCACCCUACGAGUUAG
RNAcentral lists this ribosomal RNA (771 nucleotides) under Triticum aestivum (bread wheat). Its description in RNAcentral is "partial small subunit ribosomal RNA". Lineage: Eukaryota; Viridiplantae; Streptophyta; Magnoliopsida; Poales; Poaceae. The record is from RNAcentral.